Molecule: ribosomal RNA, 270 nt
Filed under: uncultured archaeon
Lineage: Archaea
Description: partial 16S ribosomal RNA
Rfam family: Archaeal small subunit ribosomal RNA
Source: RNAcentral
CAGCACCUCAAGUGGUCAGGAUGAUUAUUGGGCCUAAAGCAUCGGUAGCCGGCGCUGUAAGUUUUCGGUUAAAUCUGUACGCUCAACGUACAGGCUGCCGGGAAUACUGCAGCGCUAGGGAGUGGGAGAGGUAGACGGUACUCGGUAGGAAGGGGUAAAAUCCUUUGAUCUAUUGAUGACCACCUGUGGCGAAGGCGGUCUACCAGAACACGUCCGACGGUGAGGGAUGAAAGCUGGGGGAGCAAACCGGAUUAGAUACCCGAGUAGUCC